Molecule: ribosomal RNA, 544 nt
Filed under: Candida tropicalis
Lineage: Eukaryota; Fungi; Ascomycota; Pichiomycetes; Serinales; Debaryomycetaceae
Description: partial large subunit ribosomal RNA
Rfam family: Eukaryotic large subunit ribosomal RNA
Source: RNAcentral
GGCGAGUGAAGCGGCAAAAGCUCAAAUUUGAAAUCUGGCUCUUUCAGAGUCCGAGUUGUAAUUUGAAGAAGGUAUCUUUGGGUCUGGCUCUUGUCUAUGUUUCUUGGAACAGAACGUCACAGAGGGUGAGAAUCCCGUGCGAUGAGAUGAUCCAGGCCUAUGUAAAGUUCCUUCGAAGAGUCGAGUUGUUUGGGAAUGCAGCUCUAAGUGGGUGGUAAAUUCCAUCUAAAGCUAAAUAUUGGCGAGAGACCGAUAGCGAACAAGUACAGUGAUGGAAAGAUGAAAAGAACUUUGAAAAGAGAGUGAAAAAGUACGUGAAAUUGUUGAAAGGGAAGGGCUUGAGAUCAGACUUGGUAUUUUGUAUGUUACUUCUUCGGGGGUGGCCUCUACAGUUUAUCGGGCCAGCAUCAGUUUGGGCGGUAGGAGAAUUGCGUUGGAAUGUGGCACGGCUUCGGUUGUGUGUUAUAGCCUUCGUCGAUACUGCCAGCCUAGACUGAGGACUGCGGUUUAUACCUAGGAUGUUGGCAUAAUGAUCUUAAGUCGC